GUCCAGACUCCUACGGGAGGCAGCAGUGGGGAAUAUUGCACAAUGGGCGAAAGCCUGAUGCAGCAACGCCGCGUGAAGGAAGAAGGGUUUCGGCUCGUAAACUUCUAUCAACAGGGACGAAAGAAAUGACGGUACCUGAAUAAGAAGCACCGGCUAACUCCGUGCCAGCAGCCGCGGUAAUACGGAGGGGGCAAGCGUUGUCCGGAAUCAUUGGGCGUAAAGAGUUCGUAGGCGGUAUGUUAAGUCUGGUGUUAAAUGCAGAAGCUCAACUUCUGUUCGGCACUGGAUACUGGCAAACUAGAAUGCGGUAGAGGUAAAGGGAAUUCCUGGUGUAGCGGUGAAAUGCUUAGAUAUCAGGAGGAACAUCGGUGGCGUAAGCGCUUUACUGGGCCGUAAUUGACGCUGAGGAACGAAAGCAAGGGUAGCAAAUGGGAUUAGAUACCCCUGUA
This 449-nucleotide ribosomal RNA is filed under the name uncultured bacterium. Its description in RNAcentral is "bacterial SSU rRNA". It matches the Rfam family "Bacterial small subunit ribosomal RNA", at positions 329 to 792 of the family's 1533-position model. The record is from RNAcentral.